AUUGAACGCUGGCGGAAUGCUUUACACAUGCAAGUCGAACGGCAGCACGGACUUCGGUCCGGUGGCGAGUGGCGAACGGGUGAGUAAUGUAUCGGAACGUGCCCAGUCGUGGGGGAUAACGUAGUGAAAAUUACGCUAAUACCGCAUACGAUCUAUGGAUGAAAGCGGGGGAUCGCAAGACCUCGCGCGAUUGGAGCGGCCGAUAUCAGAUUAGGUAGUUGGUGGGGUAAAGGCCCACCAAGCCAACGAUCUGUAGCUGGUCGGCGAGGACGACCCGCAAGACUGAAACUGCGACACGGUCCAGACUCCUACGGGAGGCAGCAGUGGGGAAUUUUGGCAAAUGGGCGAAAGCCUGAUCCAGCCAUUCCUCGUGCAGGAUGAAGGCCCUCGGGUUGUAAACUGCUUUUGUACAGAACGAAAAGGUUUCUACUAAUACUAGGAGCUCAUGACGGUACUGUAAGAAUAAGCACCGGCUAACUACGUGCCAGCCGCCGCGGUAA
Molecule: ribosomal RNA, 500 nt
Filed under: uncultured bacterium
Lineage: Bacteria
Description: partial 16S ribosomal RNA
Rfam family: Bacterial small subunit ribosomal RNA
Source: RNAcentral